RNAcentral lists this ribosomal RNA (450 nucleotides) under uncultured bacterium. Its description in RNAcentral is "partial 16S ribosomal RNA". It matches the Rfam family "Bacterial small subunit ribosomal RNA", at positions 354 to 796 of the family's 1533-position model. The record is from RNAcentral.
GUGGGGAAUCUUCCGCAAUGGACGAAAGUCUGACGGAGCAACGCCGCGUGAGUGAUGAAGGUCUUCGGAUUGUAAAGCUCUGUUAAUCGGGACGAAAGAGCCUAGUGUGAAUAAUGCUAGGAAGUGACGGUACCGGAAUAGAAAGCCACGGCUAACUACGUGCCAGCAGCCGCGGUAAUACGUAGGUGGCAAGCGUUGUCCGGAAUUAUUGGGCGUAAAGCGCGCGCAGGCGGAUCUGCCAGUCUGUCUUAAAAGUUCGGGGCUUAACCCCGUGAUGGGAUGGAAACUACAGAUCUAGAGUAUCGGAGAGGAAAGUUGAAUUCCUAGUGUAGCGGUGAAAUGCGUAGAUAUUAGGAAGAACACCAGUGGCGAAGGCGACUUUCUGGACGAAAACUGACGCUGAGGCGCGAAAGCCAGGGGAGCGAACGGGAUUAGAAACCCUAGUAGUCC